GUGAAUCAUCAAAUUUUUGAACGCAAAUUGCGCUUCUUGGUAUCCCGGGGAGUAUGCCUGUUUGAGGGUCAGUAUUAACAAAAAAUUCGGUGUGGUUGCAAAUUGUGAUGCGUCGGGAGUUUGGGGUAUUUUAACUUUUUUGGUUAAGGGGCGUAAAAUUGACCUUUUUUGCGCAUUUUUAGAAGUACAUU
This 191-nucleotide unclassified non-coding RNA is filed under the name Glomeromycetes sp. RNAcentral's name for it is "partial contains 5.8S ribosomal RNA and internal transcribed spacer 2". The stretch from base 1 to 71 matches the Rfam family "5.8S ribosomal RNA", at positions 84 to 154 of the family's 154-position model. Lineage: Eukaryota; Fungi; Glomeromycota; Glomeromycetes. The record is from RNAcentral.